GUCCAGACUCCUACGGGAGGCAGCAGUGGGGAAUAUUGCACAAUGGGGGAAACCCUGAUGCAGCGACGCCGCGUGAGUGAAGAAGUCUUUCGGUAUGUAAAGCUCUAUCAGCAGGGAAGAAAAUGACGGUACCUGACUAAGAAGCCCCGGCUAACUACGUGCCAGCAGCCGCGGUAAUACGUAGGGGGCAAGCGUUAUCCGGAUUUACUGGGUGUAAAGGGAGCGUAGACGGCAGCGCAAGUCUGAAGUGAAAGCGCAUGGCUUAACCGUUGAACUGCUUUGGAAACUGUGCAGCAGGAGUGCAGGAGAGGUAAGCGGAAUUCCUAGUGUAGCGGUGUAAUGCGUAGAUAUUAGGAGGAACACCAGUGGCGAAGGCGGCUUACUGGACUGUAACUGACGUUGAGGCUCGAAAGCGUGGGGAGCAAACAGGAUUAGAUACCCCUGUA
Molecule: ribosomal RNA, 446 nt
Filed under: uncultured bacterium
Lineage: Bacteria
Description: bacterial SSU rRNA
Rfam family: Bacterial small subunit ribosomal RNA
Source: RNAcentral